Molecule: ribosomal RNA, 253 nt
Filed under: uncultured bacterium
Lineage: Bacteria
Description: partial 16S ribosomal RNA
Rfam family: Bacterial small subunit ribosomal RNA
Source: RNAcentral
UACGUAGGUGGCGAGCGUUGUCCGGAUUUACUGGGCGUAAAGAGCGCGCAGGCGGUCGUUCAAGUCGCGUGUGAAAGCCCCCGGCUCAACUGGGGAGGGUCACGCGAUACUGAUCGACUCGAAGGCAGGAGAGGGUAGUGGAAUUCCCGGUGUAGUGGUGAAAUGCGUAGAUAUCAAGUGGAACACCAGUGGCGAAGGCGAGUCCCUGGAAAACUCCUGACACUGAGGCACGAAAGCUAGGGGAGCAAACAGG